Long non-coding RNA from Orcinus orca (killer whale), 4456 nucleotides. RefSeq lists it as uncharacterized. The transcript is spliced from 3 exons. NCBI's taxonomy places the organism in Eukaryota, Metazoa, Chordata, Mammalia, Artiodactyla, Delphinidae. The record is from RefSeq and is a predicted model, not a curated record.
CUGGGUGAGAAUAGGAAAGGGAGGAACUGACAACAUCUAAAUGACUGACAAGAUCUGAGUUUCUGCACUUGAUUCAUUCAUGUGUUUUGCUUUCCCCAGGUGCUAAUGGCAACUUCACUUUGAAAAUCAGCCCAGUCCAAAGAGUAAUGGAUCCAGUUACCUUAGCCAUGUUAUCGACCAAGUUCUGAGAUAGCUCUACUCGUCCGCCCAGUUUAGAGUGAAGUCCACGUGAAAUGAUCUAACUGUUACUCAGAGUGUGGGCCAGGGGUCAGCUGCAGCAGCAUCAGGAUUCAGGAUAACUUACUCAUCUCAAUAAAAUCUGCAAAGUCCCUCUUGUCAUGUAAGAGUUGUGCUGGAAAUCAGCCGUGAGCCAUGCACCGUGUUUGGAACUCAGGAGCAGACAAGGCGCUCAGAGAAGAUGAAAGGAGCAGGGGUGGAAUUGAGAUGGUGUGGCUGGAGAGGGGACGGCUGAAACAGCUGAGGACCGAGGCAGCAUCCCCCAACCUCCAAACCGGUACAGUGACACGACAUAGCCCUGUGAGGCAGGGCUGCUUGACGUGAAAUAACCCAGUGUUAGGGUCUGGAGGCGACCAAGGAGCCUAGACAGAGCAGCAGCUUCUAAAAUCGCUUCCCAACUGUCAGCAUUGCCUGGUUAGUGAUCUGCAGGGUGUUCACGGAAAACUUGUAUACUCUGACCAGCCCCUCACUUCGUGUCAUCUCUGUGCUUAAAUUGAUGUGAGGACUAUAGCAGAGAAAUGUAUAGAGGGCCACAGCCUCUGGCUCCCGCUACACGUGUUCACGUCUCCAACUUGGGGACCACAUCCGUGCGGUUGCCGCGACCUGGGGGCCUUCCCCAGCCUCUGUUCUCAUCCCAGUGGCACCCAUUAAAUGUCCCCUCCACAGAGAGACGAUCGGUGCCACCCUAUUAACUUAGCCCGCCUGCCCCGUUUAGCCUCCGUCCUAGAGCUGCGGGCAUGUCGUUCAGGCUUGCGAUUCCUUUCCUCUGAUCCUCGGGCUUUGUCUGGGUCCCUUGGUGCGUCCCCGUCUAUGAAGACGAGGACCUUGUCCACUGCUGGGGCCCCGUUGUCCAGGGCUCUGUGGACAUGCACUGAAUGAAUAAACCCACUCAUGCUUGAUGUAUUUGAAAAUGUGUUUCUUCCGUUUUAGAAGAAGCUUCUGUCAAAGACGCCCAAACCACAAUAUUUGGAUGAAGCAAGGCUGACCAUUAGGGUCAGUAGAAACAAUGGCAGUCAGGAGGCAAAAUCCUCGAGCUCUGAUAUCCGAGCACCCAGGUGCUCCGUACUCACCUGGAUGAUAAGAUCCUUGAGCACAGAGACUGAUCCCAGGUCCUGCAAUAGGGACCGGCAUGCGUGUUUGAAGAAUACAUAAGGGGGCAUAUUUGCACCUUGUCCCUUUUCAGUGUUUCUCCUUCCAUUAGAGUCUUUCCUCCAUGGACUGUAGGAAGUCUGAGCGGCUUCUAUGCAAUCCCGUUGCCUUUGUUCCUUGCAUUCUUAUUUAUUUUUAGGAAAACGAAUGCGUCUACUGUGAUUCCAGUAUUAUUGUCUUAUUUAGUUCCCGCCCCAAGAAAAGGGUGAUUACUUAGAACUUUGACAUAUUCCUAACUAAUGUCCCUGCUUCCUGUAGUUUUCCCUUCUGGCAUGUUAAAGAGCCCAGGGCUGUGGCAGCUUAUAAAAUCCUUCUGCAGUCUUUUGAAUUUGCACACGGUGGUCCCUACUAACAAACUGGCCCAUCAAACUGGUGUUCUCCAUCCCUAUCAGUGAGCAUGAAUCUCUAGCCCAGCCCACCUCUAAUUGGAAUUUUUACUUUCUGGGGCAAUUAAAGUGGCUGUUGGUUUAUGCCCAUUUGCCUAUGACAGAAAAGCCACUCAUUUUCCAACAAAGAAGCUGGUGGUUUCUAUCAGUCCCUCUCCAAAGCCAGUUUUCCUCCUUCCUCUCCUUUUUCUUCCCCCUAGCCUCCCUCCUGGGGUCUAAUCCUUGUUCCUCCAAUUGCUUGUUGGGUGACUUUGGUUAAGUUAUUUAACCUGCUUGGGUCCCUCUCCUUCUAUCUAAAGCAACAGUCCCUACUUAGAAUUCUCUUUUUAAUUCUAUUUGUAUUAAAUGAGAAAAUGUUUGUGAGAUCCUUGACAACUUGGUACAUAAGAAAUUCUUAAUAACUGAGACCUACUCUUCCUUCUAAUCCCUUGCUUCUCCCCCUUUCUCUGUCCUCUUCUUUUCUCUUUGUUAGGUGCUCUCUCUUUCUAGUACAUACAUCCUUCCUCCCUUUUGCCCUUCUGUUUGAUCUCUCCUUUGUAACCCAGCUCCAGUGGUUGCCUAAUAAUCAGCUGAUCAGAAGUCACAUGAUCAUUCAUCUGAAAUGUUCAAUCAGAUUCCAGGGCCCUUUGAACUGUGAAAAUCAGUAGAGUUGCUCCGUAACUGUACCGAUAGUCAUGGCAUCAGGACACAACUGCCUGCCUCCUCUCCGGCAGCCACUGGAUUGCAGAGAUCAUCAGAAUGUAGGAGCAUCAAAGAAACAACCCCUUAAUCUGGGGUCAGAUUUUUUCUCUGGACAAAGCCAGUAAGAAAUAUGGUUAUCGUGCUAUUCCUCUCAUCUUCUCUCUUCCGAAUUGAGCAGGGGCUCAUUAAUUGUUUGCCCAGUGUCUUCAGGCCAGCUGUUAGCUGUGUCUGCUGACUCUCUGUAUUACUGGCCAACGUGUCAGCACCUUGUUAAUUGUGGAAACACUUCCAUUGACAAUUUUGGAGAGAAAUCCUGCUUUCUGAAGGAAUAUACCAUUCAGCAAAUCAGAGUUUUGUGUCGAGUGAUGGUUACCCAUCAACUCCCUAAAUGCUUCCUCAGGGGACGUUGCAUUAUUCCUUCAGUUUGCAGCGUCGUUUGUUAAAAUUUCCUCAAUUUGAGGAAGUAGAGAAAUGUUUUCAGAGUGAUUUUUUUCAUUUAUAUGCCCAAAUAGCCUGCUUUAAAAAAUUAUCCUCCCAAUUCUGUGUGUCUGUAUUUAUGUACGUAGGCAAUGGGAACACUUAUACACGGGAAUAUUCACACCACUGCUAAGUGCUACGCUGAUACGUAUUGGCCACAGGACAAUUACAAGUACGUGAAGUUGUAAGAAGUUUAAUCCUGCCUUGUCUCGGGCCUGUAACAGUGCUGGCAUCAUUGCAUACGCUGUCUGUUGAACUCUGCACAAUAAUUCUGCAAAGCUGAGUUUACAGUUUCCAUUUGCACAAGAGGAAACCCGGGCAGUGAAAAGGUAUCAGGUGCCAGUGUGAACAGAAGAAGGUCGGGUGGACAUUGUUAACGUAGCAAAUGUGGGGUGAGGAAAGUGAGUGGACCUGGUACCUCGGGGCAUGGGGCCUGGGAACAUCCCUACUUGCUGUUGUGGCCUCAGACAGGGCGUUUUACUUCUUACACCUCAGAGUGAUUACUAAUGCAUGCAAGUGGGGAUUCCUGUCCUGCCAACCUCACAAGACUGGGGUGAAAACCAGCAUCCUGGCAAAGCCAAAUGAAUGCUUCUUCCCUUCUUCAAAAAAGAGAAAGAAAACAGAAGGAAACAAGAAUAAUCUCAGAUAAGCAAAAUCCUGCAUGUAGAGAAGAUUUCCUCAAUUCCCAGGGAGGAGUUCUUCACCAUUUGAGUUUCGAUAGCACUGAUUGAUGUAUAACUUUGUCAUACAAUUUGCCAAAAUACAAGGGCCUCAAAAGAGGAGACUCUGCCUCCAUUCCACGUUUAAUAAACAUUGAUUGAGCCAUUGGCAUGUGCCCAAACCCUGCACUAAACAUCAGUGACUGAGCCAAAACCGACACAGUUCCUGCUCUCAUGGGGCAUAUAUGGUUUAGUACAGGGAAGAGGAAUUGAAUUAGCUCGUACAGUGGGAACUUCUAACAGUGACAAUCACUUAAAGAAGAGGUGCCGGUUUUAAUAAGAACUCCCGAUAGGGGAUUUAAUCCGGCCAGAGUGUAAGCACACGGAAGAGGCUGCCCUAUGAGAGAUGCUGAGCUGAAUCAGAACGCUCUACUUCCUCUUCGGGCCAUGACAAGUACUUAGAAGAGCGCUUGGCACAUAGCAGAUGUUCUACAAAUGUUGGCUGAAGGAAGUAAGAGUAGGCUGUUGAAAAUGCCUUAGAUGAUAAUUAUAUUCACAUUACACUGCACAGUUGAAGCCCUCAGCACAUUUUCCCUCAUUUUAUCUCACAAUAAUAAAAGACAUUCUGUGAUUAUUAUUCUUUUUAUAGAGAAUUAAUUUUUAAGUAAUUUUUCCAGUAAUUUUAAAGUAAUUUUAGUAAUUUUUCCAAGGCUCUACAGCCAGGAAGAAGUGAAGCUGGGAUUUGAACCCAGGUGUUCUGAACCCAGAGUCUCAGACCUGAGCGGCUGCAUCAUUGGACAGCAACAUGUGUGCCAGCUUUGUGCUAGAUAUUUUCCUGGUAUUAUUUCAUGACAUACCUGGGAGAGG